UACGUAGGCAGCAAGCGUUGCUCGGAAUCACUGGGCGUAAAGGGUGCGUAGGCGGGUCUUUAAGUCAGGGGUGAAAUCCUGGAGCUCAACUCCAGAACUGCCUUUGAUACUGAGGAUCUUGAGUUCGGGAGAGGUGAGUGGAACUGCGAGUGUAGAGGUGAAAUUCGUAGAUAUUCGCAAGAACACCAGUGGCGAAGGCGGCUCACUGGCCCGAUACCGACGCUGAGGCACGAAAGCGUGGGGAGCAAACAGG
RNAcentral lists this ribosomal RNA (253 nucleotides) under uncultured bacterium. Its description in RNAcentral is "partial 16S ribosomal RNA". It matches the Rfam family "Bacterial small subunit ribosomal RNA", at positions 524 to 776 of the family's 1533-position model. The record is from RNAcentral.